This 1386-nucleotide ribosomal RNA is filed under the name metagenome. Its description in RNAcentral is "bacterial SSU rRNA". It matches the Rfam family "Bacterial small subunit ribosomal RNA". The record is from RNAcentral.
GCAUGCAAGUCGAACGGUAGUAGGGUGCUUGCACCCUAUGAGAGUGGCGAACGGGUGAGUAACACGUAGGUAAUCUACCUUGAAGUUGGGGAUAGCCUGUGGAAACACAGGGUAAUACCGAAUGUCCUUGCUUCGGUGAGGAAAGAGGCUAAGGCCUCGCUUUAAGAUGAGCCUGCGCCUCAUUAGCUAGUUGGUGGGGUAAAGGCCUACCAAGGCGACGAUGAGUAGCCGACCUGAGAGGGUGACCGGCCACACUGGGACUGAGACACGGCCCAGACUCCUACGGGAGGCAGCAGCUAAGAAUCUUCCGCAAUGGCCGAAAGGCUGACGGAGCGACGCCGCGUGGACGAAGAAGGCCGGAAGGUUGUAAAGUCCUUUUAUUGGAGAAGAAUAAUGCGGGGAGGGAAUGCCCUGCAGAUGACGUUAUCCUAUGAAUAAGCCCCGGCUAAUUACGUGCCAGCAGCCGCGGUAACACGUAAGGGGCAAGCGUUGUUCGGAAUUAUUGGGCGUAAAGGGCGCGUAGGCGGCUAUGAAAGUCUGGUGUGAAAGGCCACUGCUUAACAGUGGGAGUGCACUGGAAACUACAUGGCUAGAGUUCAAGAGGGGAAGCUGGAAUUCCUGGUGUAGGGGUGAAAUCUGUAGAUAUCAGGAAGAACACCUGUGGCGAAGGCGAGCUUCUGGCUAUGAACUGACGCUGAGGCGCGAAAGCGUGGGGAGCGAACAGGAUUAGAUACCCUGGUAGUCUACGCUGUAAACGAUGUGCACUAGGUGUUGGCUGUUGUAACGGCCAGUGCCGAAGCAAACGCGAUAAGUGCACCGCCUGGGGAGUAUGCUCGCAAGGGUGAAACUCAAAGGAAUUGACGGGGGCCCGCACAAGCGGUGGAGCAUGUGGUUUAAUUCGAUAUACGCGAGGAACCUUACCAGGGCUUGACAUAUGCAUGACGAUCAUAGAGAUAUGGUUUCCCUUCGGGGCGUGUAUACAGGUGCUGCAUGGUUGUCGUCAGCUCGUGCUGUGAGGUGUUGGGUUAAGUCCCGCAACGAGCGCAACCCCUGCUGUCUGUUACCAGCAUUUCGGAUGGGGACUCAGACGGUACUGCCGGUGACAAACCGGAGGAAGGUGGGGAUGACGUCAAAUCAUCAUGGCCCUUAUGUCCUGGGCUACACACGUGCUACAAUGGUUGGUACAGAGCGUUGCAAAACCGCGAGGUGGAGCGAAUCGCAGAAAGCCGGCCUCAGUACGGAUUGGAGUCUGAAACUCGACUUCAUGAAGUUGAAAUCGCUAGUAAUCGCGCAUCAGCAUGGCGCGGUGAAUACGUUCCCGGGCCUUGUACACACCGCCCGUCACACCACCCGAGUUGGGGGUACCCGAAGUCGCUCGUCUAACCG